CCCUUAGACGUUCUGGGCCGCACGCGCGCUACACUGACGGAGCCAGCGAGUAUAGACCUUGGCCGAGAGGUCUGGGAAAUCUUGUGAAACUCCGUCGUGCUGGGGAUAGAGCAUUGUAAUUAUUGCUCUUCAACGAGGAAUUCCUAGUAAGCGCAAGUCAUCAGCUUGCGUUGAUUACGUCCCUGCCCUUUGUACACACCGCCCGUCGCUACUACCGAUUGAAUGGCUUAGUGAGGCUUCCGGAUUGGUUUAGAGAAGGGGGCAACUCCAUCUUGGAACCGAGAAGCUAGUCAAACUUGGUCAUUUAGAGGAAGUAAAAGUCGUAACA
This 328-nucleotide ribosomal RNA is filed under the name uncultured eukaryote. RNAcentral's name for it is "partial 18S ribosomal RNA". It matches the Rfam family "Eukaryotic small subunit ribosomal RNA", at positions 1470 to 1796 of the family's 1831-position model. The record is from RNAcentral.